UGAACGCUGGCGGCAGGCCUAACACAUGCAAGUCGAGCGGUAACAGANAGUAGCUUGCUACUUUGCUGACGAGCGGCGGACGGGUGAGUAAUGCUUGGGAACAUGCCUUGAGGUGGGGGACAACAGUUGGAAACGACUGCUAAUACCGCAUAAUGUCUACGGACCAAAGGGGGCUUCGGCUCUCGCCUUUAGAUUGGCCCAAGUGGGAUUAGCUAGUUGGUGAGGUAAUGGCUCACCAAGGCGACGAUCCCUAGCUGGUUUGAGAGGAUGAUCAGCCACACUGGGACUGAGACACGGCCCAGACUCCUACGGGAGGCAGCAGUGGGGAAUAUUGCACAAUGGGCGCAAGCCUGAUGCAGCCAUGCCGCGUGUGUGAAGAAGGCCUUCGGGUUGUAAAGCACUUUCAGUCAGGAGGAAAGNKURGURGUUAAUACCYRYYAKSUGUGACGUUACUGACAGAAGAAGCACCGGCUAACUCCGUGCCAGCAGCCGCGGUAAUACGGAGGGUGCGAGCGUUAAUCGGAAUUACUGGGCGUAAAGCGUACGCAGGCGGUUUGUUAAGCGAGAUGUGAAAGCCCCGGGCUCAACCUGGGAACUGCAUUUCGAACUGGCAAACUAGAGUGUGAUAGAGGGUGGUAGAAUUUCAGGUGUAGCGGUGAAAUGCGUAGAGAUCUGAAGGAAUACCGAUGGCGAAGGCAGCCACCUGGGUCAACACUGACGCUCAUGUACGAAAGCGUGGGGAGCAAACGGGAUUAGAUACCCCGGUAGUCCACGCCGUAAA
This 781-nucleotide ribosomal RNA is filed under the name Pseudoalteromonas sp. AD-E1. Its description in RNAcentral is "bacterial SSU rRNA". It matches the Rfam family "Bacterial small subunit ribosomal RNA", at positions 30 to 806 of the family's 1533-position model. The record is from RNAcentral. Lineage: Bacteria; Pseudomonadati; Pseudomonadota; Gammaproteobacteria; Alteromonadales; Pseudoalteromonadaceae.